RNAcentral lists this transfer RNA (73 nucleotides) under Marmota monax (woodchuck). RNAcentral's name for it is "tRNA.Ala". It matches the Rfam family "tRNA". Rfam says of the family: Transfer RNA (tRNA) molecules are approximately 80 nucleotides in length. Lineage: Eukaryota; Metazoa; Chordata; Mammalia; Rodentia; Sciuridae. The record is from RNAcentral.
UGAGGUUGUAGCUCAGUGGUAGAGUGCUUGCCUAGCACGUGUGAGGCACUGGGUUUGAUUCUCAGAACAUUAU